GCGUUGGCCCAAUUGAUUGAUGGUGCUUGCACCUGAUUGAUUUUGGUCGCCAACGAGUGGCGGACGGGUGAGUAACACGUAGGUAACCUGCCCAGAAGCGGGGGACAACAUUUGGAAACAGAUGCUAAUACCGCAUAACAGCGUUGUUCGCAUGAACAACGCUUAAAAGAUGGCUUCUCGCUAUCACUUCUGGAUGGACCUGCGGUGCAUUAGCUUGUUGGUGGGGUAACGGCCUACCAAGGCGAUGAUGCAUAGCCGAGUUGAGAGACUGAUCGGCCACAAUGGGACUGAGACACGGCCCAUACUCCUACGGGAGGCAGCAGUAGGGAAUCUUCCACAAUGGGCGCAAGCCUGAUGGAGCAACACCGCGUGAGUGAAGAAGGGUUUCGGCUCGUAAAGCUCUGUUGUUAAAGAAGAACACGUAUGAGAGUAACUGUUCAUACGUUGACGGUAUUUAACCAGAAAGUCACGGCUAACUACGUGCCAGCAGCCGCGGUAAUACGUAGGUGGCAAGCGUUAUCCGGAUUUAUUGGGCGUAAAGAGAGUGCAGGCGGUUUUCUAAGUCUGAUGUGAAAGCCUUCGGCUUAACCGGAGAAGUGCAUCGGAAACUGGAUAACUUGAGUGCAGAAGAGGGUAGUGGAACUCCAUGUGUAGCGGUGGAAUGCGUAGAUAUAUGGAAGAACACCAGUGGCGAAGGCGGCUACCUGGUCUGCAACUGACGCUGAGACUCGAAAGCAUGGGUAGCGAACAGGAUUAGAUACCCUGGUAGUCCAUGCCGUAAACGAUGAGUGCUAGGUGUUGGAGGGUUUCCGCCCUUCAGUGCCGGAGCUAACGCAUUAAGCACUCCGCCUGGGGAGUACGACCGCAAGGUUGAAACUCAAAGGAAUUGACGGGGGCCCGCACAAGCGGUGGAGCAUGUGGUUUAAUUCGAAGCUACGCGAAGAACCUUACCAGGUCUUGACAUCUUGCGCCAACCCUAGAGAUAGGGCGUUUCCUUCGGGAACGCAAUGACAGGUGGUGCAUGGUCGUCGUCAGCUCGUGUCGUGAGAUGUUGGGUUAAGUCCCGCAACGAGCGCAACCCUUGUUACUAGUUGCCAGCAUUAAGUUGGGCACUCUAGUGAGACUGCCGGUGACAAACCGGAGGAAGGUGGGGACGACGUCAGAUCAUCAUGCCCCUUAUGACCUGGGCUACACACGUGCUACAAUGGACGGUACAACGAGUCGCGAACUCGCGAGGGCAAGCAAAUCUCUUAAAACCGUUCUCAGUUCGGACUGCAGGCUGCAACUCGCCUGCACGAAGUCGGAAUCGCUAGUAAUCGCGGAUCAGCAUGCCGCGGUGAAUACGUUCCCGGGCCUUGUACACACCGCCCGUCACACCAUGAGAGUUUGUAACACCCAAAGUCGGUGG
This 1408-nucleotide ribosomal RNA is filed under the name Limosilactobacillus fermentum. RNAcentral's name for it is "bacterial SSU rRNA". It matches the Rfam family "Bacterial small subunit ribosomal RNA". Lineage: Bacteria; Bacillati; Bacillota; Bacilli; Lactobacillales; Lactobacillaceae. The record is from RNAcentral.